Long non-coding RNA from Gordionus sp. m RMFG-2023, 625 nucleotides. RefSeq lists it as uncharacterized. NCBI's taxonomy places the organism in Eukaryota, Metazoa, Nematomorpha, Gordioida, Chordodea, Parachordodidae. The transcript has 6 exons. The record is from RefSeq and is a predicted model, not a curated record.
AAAAGAUGGCAGGUCAAUCAAAAAAUGAAACGCACUAGGGAUCGUGAGACCCUACAAAAUCUACUAGGAACGCAAAAUAAAAAUACAUUUAUUUUAGCUUCUGAUGAUAUUCCCACUAUUUCUAGGGAGUUGAACCUUAUAUUGACUCCUCUUCAGAUAAUAAACCCUGUCUUAACCUCAUUUACUAAUUGUACAGAUGGUGAUUUAUCCGUCAUUAAUGAAAGAAAAAGAUGGCAGGUCAAUCAACAAAUGAAUAGCUAUAGGGAUUGUGAAUCCCAGCAAAAUAUACUAACAACAUAAAAUAAAAAUUCAAUUUUAGCUUCUGAUGAUAUUCCCACUAUUUCUAGGGGGUUGAUCCUAAUCUUGACUCCUCUGCAAAUAACAAACCCUGCUUUAUUUCCUCCUUAUAAUUGUUUAAAUAUUGAUAUAUCUACCAUUAAUUAUCAAAAAAUACAAAAUAAAUGUUCAGAAAAACAUAAUAGUCUUGAUAAGUCCCCAAAUAGACAAAUUUUAUUUUUUGAUGAUAGCCUCCCAACUACUAGAGAUAUGCAUAUAUUGACCCCUUUACAGGUUAACCCAAACUUGAUCCCUCACAUAGCUACAAAACAUGAUAUUUCUAUUAAAG